Molecule: ribosomal RNA, 460 nt
Filed under: uncultured bacterium
Lineage: Bacteria
Description: partial 16S ribosomal RNA
Rfam family: Bacterial small subunit ribosomal RNA
Source: RNAcentral
CCUACGGGAGGCAGCAGUGAGGAAUAUUGGUCAAUGGACGAGAGUCUGAACCAGCCAAGUAGCGUGAAGGAUGACUGCCCUAUGGGUUGUAAACUUCUUUUAGAUGGGAAUAAAACGUUCCACGUGUGGGAUUUUUUAUGUAUCAUAUGAAUAAGGAUCGGCUAAAUCCGUGCCAGCAGCCGCGGUAAUACGGAGGAUCCGCGCGUUAUCCGGAUUUAUUGGGUUUAAAGGGAGCGUAGGUGGCUUGUUAAGGCAGUUGUGAAAGUUUGCGGCUCAACCGUAAAAUUGCAGUUGAAACUGGCAGUCUUGAGUACAGUAGAGGAGGGCGGAAUUCGUGGUGUAGCGGUGAAAUGCUUAGAUAUCACGAAGAACUCCGAUUGCGAAGGCAGUUCACUGGACUGCAACUGACACUGAGGCUCGAAAGUGUGGGUAUCAAACAGGAUUAGAUACCCUGGUAGUC